This 375-nucleotide RNase P RNA is filed under the name Bradymonas sediminis. RNAcentral describes it as "Bacterial RNase P class A". It matches the Rfam family "Bacterial RNase P class A". From Rfam's summary of the family: Ribonuclease P (RNase P) is a ubiquitous endoribonuclease, found in archaea, bacteria and eukarya as well as chloroplasts and mitochondria. Its best characterised activity is the generation of mature 5'-ends of tRNAs by cleaving the 5'-leader elements of precursor-tRNAs. Lineage: Bacteria; Deltaproteobacteria; Bradymonadales; Bradymonadaceae. The record is from Rfam by way of RNAcentral.
CGGCUCUCCAAGGUGCUCGCCGGGGCGGUUUACCGCUCAGGAGGAAAGUCCGGACAUCGCAGGGCAGAGUGGUCGGUAACGCCGACCGGGGGUAACCCUAGGGACAGUGCAACAGAAAAUAAACCGCCGCGCCUGGCGCGGUAAGGGUGCAAAGGUGAGGUAAGAGCUCACCGGGGCGAUGGUGACAUCGUCUGUCUUUGUAAACCCCACUUGAUGCAAGGCGAAUAGGUGUCGAGCGCCCCUCGGGGAGCUCCGGAGCGGCCCGCUCCGCUGGCGCCAGGUAGCUGCAUGAGCCGUCUAGCAAUAGCCGGCCUAGAUGAAUGAGCACCCUCGCGUCGAGCGAGACAAGAUCCGGCUUAUACGGGGAGCCGAGGU